RNAcentral lists this ribosomal RNA (551 nucleotides) under uncultured Glomeromycotina. RNAcentral describes it as "SSU rRNA". It matches the Rfam family "Eukaryotic small subunit ribosomal RNA", at positions 548 to 1098 of the family's 1831-position model. The record is from RNAcentral. Lineage: Eukaryota; Fungi; Glomeromycota.
UUGGAGGGCAAGUCUGGUGCCAGCAGCCGCGGUAAUUCCAGCUCCAAUAGCGUAUAUUAAAGUUGUUGCAGUUAAAAAGCUCGUAGUUGAAUUUCGGGAUCUAUCCGUCGGUCGGGCCUCACGGUCCGCACUGGUGUGAUGGAUUCCUACCUUCUGAAUAACCGGUAUGCCAUUAAUUUGAUGUGCCGGGGAAGCAGAACCAUUACCUUGAAAAAAUUAGAGUGCUCAAAGCAGGCCUAUGCCUGAAUACAUUAGCAUGGAAUAAUAAAAUAGGACGGCAUGGUUCUAUUUUGUUGGUUUCUAGGAUCACCGUAAUGAUUAAUAGGGAUAGUUGGGGGCAUUAGUAUUCAAUUGUCAGAGGUGAAAUUCUUGGAUUUAUUGAAGACUAACUUCUGCGAAAGCAUUUGCCAAGGAUGUUUUCAUUAAUCAAGAACGAAAGUUAGGGGAUCGAAGACGAUCAGAUACCGUCGUAGUCUUAACCAUAAACUAUGCCGACUAGGGAUCGGACGAUGUCAAUUUUAUAAUGACUCAUUCGGCGCCUUACGGGAAAC